This 468-nucleotide ribosomal RNA is filed under the name uncultured bacterium. RNAcentral's name for it is "partial 16S ribosomal RNA". It matches the Rfam family "Bacterial small subunit ribosomal RNA", at positions 28 to 507 of the family's 1533-position model. The record is from RNAcentral.
GACGAACGCUGGCGGCGUGCUUAACACAUGCAAGUCGAACGGAAAGGCCCUGCUUUUGUGGGGUGCUCGAGUGGCGCACGUGUGCGUAACACGUGAGUAACCUGCCCUUGACUUUGUGAUAACUUCAGGAAACUGGGGCUAAUACCGGCGAGCAGAUCCUGCUGCCUGGUGGUCGUUGGAAAGCUUAGGCGGUCGGGGAUGGACUCGAGGCUUAUCAGCUUGUUGGUGGGGUAGUGGCUUACCAAGGCUUUGACGGGUAGGCGGCAUGAGAGGGUGACCGGCCACAUGGGUACUAAGAUACGGACCAGUCUCCAACGGGGGGCAACAGUGGAGAGUGUUGCACAGUGAGCGGACGCCUGAUGCAGCGGCGCCGCGUGCGGAAUAAGGGGCUUCGGGGGGUAAACCGCUUUCGCCUGAUACGAAGCGUGAGUGACGGUAACAGGUAAGUAAGCACCGGCUAACUACGUG